Molecule: long non-coding RNA, 3651 nt
Organism: Peromyscus leucopus (white-footed mouse)
Lineage: Eukaryota; Metazoa; Chordata; Mammalia; Rodentia; Cricetidae
Exons: 3
Source: RefSeq, a predicted model, not a curated record
CAUGUCUAUUCCUAUUGUCCUUGUUCAGUUCCUGUUUGGGCAGUCAUGGUGGCGAGAUUUCACGGGUGCAGCUUCUCACAUUCCUAGGAGACACGACCUCACAGCAAAUCCCCUGAUCCUCAGGCACUUUCAACCUUUCCACCUUAGAACCCCAGACAGAUUGGUCAAAUGCUCUUCCAGAGGACUGACCAACUCAUAUCACCGUAAACAAGGUCAUAAUCUGUCAUUGUGUUUCUAAUGAUUACUGGGCAUUUUUACCAUAAGCCCAUUGAACAGAGUGCUCUAGCUCCUGGAAGGCCCAAUGCCUGCCUGAAUUGUUUGUGUCUCUUUUAGUUUUUAUUGUUUACAAUUACUCAAAAAAUAGCCAGAAGAGCAGGCUCUUUCCAGAAGUUCUACAAAAUCUUCAGCCCUUCAGUUAUACAUUUUCUCAUAAGGAAUGGAAUAGAACCGCCCCCCCAUACUUUGAAAACAAAAUCUCCCAUAGUCUCUCUCUUUUCUGUCACAGUUUCGUAAUUCAAACAACUGUUUCUCAAACAAGGACUAAAUAAGGCUUGUAAAAACGUGUUCAAAACCUAACAAAGAAAGGCAGGGUGGAAGCAGACCGCUCCUUGUUUACACACUGAGUGCAAAGACGUGAGGCUAUGACUGGAGGCUAGCUGCGCCCUUGCCCAGGACAACUGAGUGUUGAGGAUCUAAUUCGGUCACAAUGAGGUUACACAGGGGCGGGGCCCCCAAUCCAGAAUGACUGGCCAUGUGAGGACAGACAGACACAGGGGAGGGCACAGUGGUGACGGGAACAGGGACUGUCGUCAGUCAUACAGCUGCAAGCCGAGCGGAGCAGCAGGAAGAGCCAAGGACGGGGAUUCGCCCAGGCACGUCAGAAGGAGCACACAGUCCCCAGAACCGCUAGACAAUACAUUUCUACCGUUUUCCCUUCCUUGCUUUGUGGUACUUGAUUACAGCAGCUCUAAGAAACUAAUCGAAUGGUUAGGAGGAAGCAGAAUACCUACGGUUCCGGCUACGGUUGCUAGAGCUUGAAUGAACGUCAUCCACAGCUGUCUUCUCUUUACCUUCUACCAAAGCUCACAGCUCAGGAGGACUGUAGGACAGCAUUCUGUCUAACGAGAUUUUGUGACUAUGUGGGGUGCCUAGAAGAACAAGCUGAUGGGAACUAUGUGAGGAGACAGACAAUAUGAAGCCAGACAUGUCAUCUCCAAGGCGUCACUGCUCUCAAAGGACAAAAGUAGUGACCCUUCCCAUGGCAGCCCUGCAAAUGCUUAAGGAAGUCCACCCUACUCUUGAUCGCACAUCUGUGUAGUGGGGAGUUGUUCCAGCUGUGACCUUGAAGCACUGCCCCCAGUGAGGUAGCAGGUAACGGUUACACCUGCCUAUAACCUUUAAGUAUAUGCCCCUGGGGUGUGGCCGUUGGGAACCUGGGAUGCACAUAUGUGGCUCAUUCUUUGCUCCCUUGGGGUUUUGGAUGCUGGAGACAGAGCAGGCAAAAGAACAGCAUGGGACUGUGCUUCAACCUUCCAGAACCCUGCAAUAAUUCCCCUGUUCUGGACGGUGAGUGUUCCUUCUCUGAUAAAUUCCUUUGCCCUUUAAGCAGACUCCAUAGAUUGCUAGCAAUAUCUGGACCUGAUAAUACAUCUCUUAGUCAGUUUAUACACAGACAGUAAAGUAUAAGUGUGCUGGUUUUCUGCUUCUCAGUUAAAACCCAUAUGACACUUGACAAAAAUUCAAGUGUAACAAAGAAACAAGAGGCAAUAACAGCGGAGGUGAAACUGAAAUUGAAUACCAAGGGAGGUACCAAGGAGGGGCUGACGGUGGGAACCUGAGGAACUGCUGCCCUAAGAGAGGCUCUGGGUGGGAAUGUGGCUAGGAGAAGCCGGUAAAGGCGUAUUGACGGGAGUGAGGAAGGUGGUUUCCGAAAGAAUGAAGAUGCCCCAGAGGAAGUAACGUCGUCUGCCAAAAACUUCACAUUAAAAGAAUUUUCAAAGAUAUUUUACAACAUUGAAAGUGCACAGAACAAAAUGUUGGAAGCUUAUCCAAACUUAGAAAUGAAUAUGACAAUUUGUCAGGUGUAGAGAAGGUGCUUGCUUCAGAUGGUAAGUUAUCUGAUGAGACUAUGAAAGUUCUGAUCAAAUUACUCUUGAUAAGCUAUUUGCAAAGAAAUAAAACCCAAUUUUGAAUGUUUCUCAUGUUUCAAGUUAGAGUGAACUAUUGUAUUAGUUUUAUAAUUCUCUCCUCCUUCUUAUGUAUUUGAAGCCAGUAGAAAAAGUUUUAAAUGUUUUGACAAUUUUUUUUAAAGAUCAAGAAACAAACAUAUUUUCUGUUGAUUAGUAACAUUAUUUUAUGCUAUAGUUUUUAUAGUCCCACACCAUUGUGGAAAAUAAAGACUCAUAUUUAUAUCCAUACCUACUUUGAAUAGUUCAUUCACAUAGAUUCCUAAAGGGGGAAUGUUGGGUCAAAGGUUCAUACAUGAUAAUCAUUUUGAUAAGUACUGGUAGAUAAAAAAGUCAUAAUCUCAUUCAAGAGGAAUUCGAAUAACCUUUUCUCCACAUCAUUAAGAGCUAAAGCUGGACACAUCUGUAAUCCUAGCAUGGGGGAGGCGGAGGCAGGAAGACUGCAAGGUUAAGAGCUAUGCUGCAAGAUCCUAUCUCUAAAAACAAAAUAACAAAACCAGACCCUAAAAACUAUAGCAUAAAAACCACAGGUAGCUAGAAGAAGAAUGCGUUGUGGUGGUAUUACAUAUAACUGCGGUGCUGUUACAUAGAACAAUUUCCUCUGAACUGAAGUUUUCUCUCUAGCAGAUAGGAGCUCAUGACACUCGGGAAACAAAAGCUCUUCACAAAGGUGAAAUUUACUGGGUUCAAAAGGCCCCUUCCCAAGGUUACAGUAAACAACCGCUGAGGGAGACCCGCCUACUUGACCCCGCCCACUUGCUGACGAAGAGACAAUGACCCGCCCACUUGCUGAUGAUGGGACAAUGACCUGCUCAUUUGACCCCGCCCACCUGCUGACUUGCUGUUCUCCACCCUUCUGCUUUAGAGUGCUCCAAGGUGCAGCGUUUGAGUUUCUUGAUUGAGUGUUGACUGGGGUUUUAGGUGCCGUGGCUGCUUUUGAGUCUUCUCUGCUCCUGUAAGUGACCCUGUUCCCACACUUCCUGUUCGUAACUCCAAUAAAAACUCAUUAUUCAUCAAGUUGAACUCUGGUGCAAUCAUAAUUUGGCCGGUUACGAUGGGUUCCCUUUCUGGGGUGAGUAGACGUGUGUGCUGCGUCUUUCCAGGGAAAGUCUCCCACACAACAGCUGUGACUAGACCGAAAAAUACCUGUACAGCUCAGAACAAAUUCUGAAUGUUUCCAAAACAAACACCAUAAAUGUUCGGUGUGAUGCAUACACUAACUAUUGAUCUAAUCAUACUUUGUGUAUCAGACAUAUUACACUCACAAGGACAUAAUUAUUAUGUGUUGAUUGAAAAUAAAACUAAAUGAUAAAUACUACUAACAAAAGAAUUGUGUUGUUGUUGUCUUUUUUUUACCAAAUGGCAUGGAAUUCAGUCAAUUUACUGCUGUGGUCAAGCAACUUUGAAAGUAGCACUCUCUCCCUUAAGACAUGCUACUUAAGGGAAGAAAGACUAUGCCCUGAGA